AUGUCGCCCUUGCGCCUGGUUCCAUGGGAAAAUACAAUACUAGAGUUGGAAUUUCAGGGCAUCCAAAAAGAAUUUACUAUGCUUCAGUUUUCGGAGGAAGAUGCUGCUAUUCCUGGUGCUUUUGGUUAUGGAAAAACUGACAUUAGUCAGGAACUUUCUAAGCUUUGGUUUAUGUGGGAUGUGGCUGAAAGAGGAAAUGAGAUGGCCGAGAUUCUAAUGGAUUUCCCCCAAUCGACAAUGACAUUUCUUGACAUGAUAUUGGGAGCCGCCGACCAUGACCCAUGUCUGUUGGAACAAGUGCAAAGGCAACAUCAUCUUCCAGCAGAAGAUUUCCCCUGCAUUGAGCGUUUCAGAGAUGCACUAGGUAGUGGAGUCACUGAGGCAGAGCAGCACCAGCAACUAGCAGCAAGCACAGCAGCACCAGCAGUCUAUCUGCGAGCAGAGCAGCACCAACAGCAAGCAGAGCAGCACCAGCAGUCCAGCAGCGGAGCAGAGCAACAGCAGCGGCAAGCCAAGAAGAAAGAGGAGGAGAAAGGAGGGGCAAGGCAGAGCAGCACCAGCAGUCCAGCAGCGAGGCAGAGCAGCACUGAGGCUCACCUGCCUGAAGAGGAGAAGAGCACGAGGGGUCGGCGGCACGAGGAGGGGCGCGAGACGAAGGAGCAGGAGGGGCGCGAGACGAAGGCGAUGGUGGAGCUUCAGAUCCGCGACGUGGGGCCGGCGACGGUGGAGCUUCAGAUCCGCGGCGGCGGGCGUCCAGCGGCCGGCGGCGCGAGGAGGGCUCGACGGGCGCGUCCAGCAGCCGGCGGCGCGUCCAGGACAAAGCAGGUUCUGGUGGACAAAGAGGUGAUAAGCGAUGAACUCUUCCGGUUACUCCAAGAACAAGUGCAUUAUCAAACUAGAUGUUGUAUAUUAUCCGUCCUUCAUCUUGAUGCUUGUGUAUCCUGCGACAAGUCCAAGCUUAAUCAGGAUAAUCUGAUUAGUGCGUCACAAGUCUGCUAUUUCUAA
Molecule: ribosomal RNA, 1005 nt
Filed under: Triticum aestivum (bread wheat)
Lineage: Eukaryota; Viridiplantae; Streptophyta; Magnoliopsida; Poales; Poaceae
Description: partial small subunit ribosomal RNA
Source: RNAcentral